This is a ribosomal RNA of 501 nucleotides. It matches the Rfam family "Bacterial large subunit ribosomal RNA", at positions 1814 to 2618 of the family's 2925-position model.
CCCAGGUCCCAUAUGGUUUGUGGUUUUAUAUGGGUCUGGCCUGCCCACUGAUGUUUAAAAUUAAAGGGCCGCGGUAUUCUGACCGUGCGAAGGUAGCAUAAUAAUUAGUCUCCUAAUUAGAGGCUUGUAUGAAUGGUCGGACAAGAUGGAAACUGUCUCUACACAAAAAAUAAAAUUUAAUUUUUAAGUAAAAAAGCUUAAAUGUAAUGGAGGGACGAUAAGACCCUAUAAAGCUUUAUAAUAUUUUUCUUUCUUAUAAAUUAUAUUGUUAUUAACAUAUUUUAGAAUUUGUAUUAUUUUACUGGGGCGGUAAAAGUAUAAUAAAAUAACUGCUUUUAUUUUGUAUAACAAUCUUAAUUGGUAAUAAAUUGAUCCAUUAUUAAUGAUUAUAAGAACAAGUUACUUUAGGGAUAACAGCGUAAUUUCUUUUGAGAGUUCUUAUCGAAAAAAAGAGUUUUCGACCUCGAUUAAUUAAGGUGCCUAGGGUCACAGUUUAAGCAG